Molecule: ribosomal RNA, 524 nt
Filed under: uncultured bacterium
Lineage: Bacteria
Description: partial 16S ribosomal RNA
Rfam family: Bacterial small subunit ribosomal RNA
Source: RNAcentral
GAUGAACGCUGGCGGCGUGCUUAACACAUGCAAGCCGAACGAGACGAUUGAAAGCUUGCUUUCGAAAGUCGAGUGGCAAACGGGUGAGUAACGCGUAGACAACCUGCCUUUGAGAUGGGGACAACAGUUCGAAAGGACUGCUAAUACCGAAUGUUGUAUAUUUUCCACAUGGAAGAUAUAUUAAAGAUGGCCUCUAUUUAUAAGCUAUCGCUCAAAGAUGGGUCUGCGUCUGAUUAGCUAGUUGGUGGGGUAACGGCCUACCAAGGCGACGAUCAGUAGCCGGUCUGAGAGGAUGAACGGACACAUUGGGACUGAGACACGGCCCAGACUCCUACGGGAGGCAGCAGUGGGGAAUCUUCCACAAUGGACGAAAGUCUGAUGGAGCAACGCCGCGUGAGUGAAGAAGGGUUUCGGCUCGUAAAGCUCUGUUGUCGGGGACGAAUGUGCAUUACUUGAAUAAAGUAGUGUAAUGACGGUACCUGACGAGGAAGCCACGGCUAACUACGUGCCAGCAGCCGCGGUAA